Molecule: ribosomal RNA, 816 nt
Filed under: uncultured bacterium
Lineage: Bacteria
Description: bacterial SSU rRNA
Rfam family: Bacterial small subunit ribosomal RNA
Source: RNAcentral
UCGAGGGGCAGCGGGGGCGGAAGCUUGCUUUCGCCCGCCGGCGACCGGCGCACGGGUGAGUAACACGUAUGCAACCUGGCCGCCACAGGGGGAUAACCCGCGGAAACGCGGCCUAAUACCCCGUGACGCCACCGGAGGGCAUCCUCCGGUGGCCAAAGGAGCGAUCCGGUGGCGGAUGGGCAUGCGGCGCAUUAGCUAGACGGCGGGGUGACGGCCCACCGUGGCGACGAUGCGUAGGGGUUCAGAGAGGAAGGCCCCCCACACUGGGACUGAGACACGGCCCAGACUCCUACGGGAGGCAGCAGUGAGGAAUAUUGGUCAAUGGGCGGAAGCCUGAACCAGCCAAGUCGCGUGAGGGAUUAAGGCCCUGCGGGUCGUAAACCUCUUUUGCCGGGGAGCAGUGGUCCGGACGCGUCCGGGCCGGGAGAGUACCCGGAGAAAAAGCAUCGGCUAACUCCGUGCCAGCAGCCGCGGUAAUACGGAGGAUGCGAGCGUUAUCCGGAUUUAUUGGGUUUAAAGGGUGCGUAGGCGGGCAUUUAAGCCGGCGGUCAAAUGUCGGGGCUCAACCCCGGCCUGCCGUCGGAACUGGGUGCCUUGAGUGGGCGAGAAGUAUGCGGAAUGCGUGGUGUAGCGGUGAAAUGCAUAGAUAUCACGCAGAACCCCGAUUGCGAAGGCAGCAUACCGGCGCCCUACUGACGCUGAGGCACGAAAGUGCGGGUAUCGAACAGGAUUAGAUACCCUGGUAGUCCGCACAGUAAACGAUGGAUGCUAUCUGUCCGGGCCGAAUGAGGCCUGGGUGGCACAGCGAAAGCGUUA